GGCCCUAGGUGAGAAAGGCAGGGUUCGC
This 28-nucleotide non-coding RNA is filed under the name Rattus norvegicus (Norway rat). The record is from RNAcentral. Lineage: Eukaryota; Metazoa; Chordata; Mammalia; Rodentia; Muridae.